Molecule: ribosomal RNA, 252 nt
Filed under: uncultured bacterium
Lineage: Bacteria
Description: partial 16S ribosomal RNA
Rfam family: Bacterial small subunit ribosomal RNA
Source: RNAcentral
UAGGGAAUCUUCCACAAUGGACGCAAGUCUGAUGGAGCAACGCCGCGUGAGUGAAGAAGGUUUUCGGACCGUAAAGCUCUGUUGUUGGUGAAGAAGGAUAGAGGUAGUAACUGGCCUUUAUUUGACGGUAAUCAACCAGAAAGUCGCGGCUAACUACGUGCCAGCAGCCGCGGUAAUACGUAGGUGGCAAGCGUUGUCCGGAUUUAUUGGGCGUAAAGCGAGCGCAGGCGGAAGAAUAAGUCUGAUGUGAAA